This 460-nucleotide ribosomal RNA is filed under the name uncultured bacterium. Its description in RNAcentral is "partial 16S ribosomal RNA". It matches the Rfam family "Bacterial small subunit ribosomal RNA", at positions 338 to 795 of the family's 1533-position model. The record is from RNAcentral.
CCUACGGGUGGCUGCAGUGAGGAAUAUUGGUCAAUGGACGAGAGUCUGAACCAGCCAAGUAGCGUGAAGGAUGACUGCCCUAUGGGUUGUACACUUCUUUUAUAUGGGAAUAAAACGUUCCACGUGUGUGAUUUUGUAUGUACCAUAUGAAUAAGGAUCGGCUAACUCCGUGCCAGCAGCCGCGGUAAUACGGAGGAUCCGAGCGUUCUCCGGAUUUAUUGGGUUUAAAGGGCGCGUAGGUGGAUUGUUAAGUCAGUUGUGAAAGUUUGCGGCUCAACAGUAGAAUUGCAGUUGAAACUGGCAGUCUUGAGUACAGUAGAGGUGGGCGGAAUUCGUGGUGUAGCGGUGAAAUGCUUAGAUAUCACGAAGAACUCCGAUUGCGAAGGCAGUUCACUGGACUGCAACUGACACUGAGGCUCGAAAGUGUGGGUAUCAAACAGGAUUAGAUACCCUGGUAGUC